AAACCAGUUCAGCUAUUAAGGGAACCACUCAGCGCAAUGGAGCAAGAUCAGGCAAUGUUUCCCAGAGAAGAGCUGUUUACCAUCAAAGAGACUGCUUCCACACAGACAUGGGGUAUUAUACACAAAGAUGGAGCCCACUGUGUCCAGUGAGUGCUGCCAACUGGAACACUGACUCAUCUUGGUGGUUUGAUCUUCCAAAGGUAACAGUCCAUCAUGGAGGGAGUCAGGACAGGAAGUCAAGCAGAAACCUGAGGGCAGGAGCUGAAGCAGAGGCCAUGGAGGAUGCUGCUUACUAGCUUGAACCUCAUAGCUUUCUCAGCCUGCUUUCCUAGAGAACGCAGGAGCACCAGUUCGGGGCUGACACCAGCAACAUCACUUGUCCAUCAAGAAAAUACACCACAGGCUUGUCCCAGGUGCCAGUGGAGGUCCACGGAGGGCAUUGGAUCCUCUAAUGCUGGAGUUGCAGAUGUUUCUAAGUCUCUGCAUGGGUCCUGGGAACCAAACUGGAGUCCUCUGGAAGAGCAGGGAGUGCUCUUAACAGCUGCAUCAUCGCUCCAGCCCCAAGAUUUUCAUUCUUUAGCCUCAUCUCAUAUGUGGCACAUUCAGUUACUCUGUUAGGAAAACACUGGUUUGUAUGAAACACUGAAAAAAAGGUUUUAGGCAAAGAAGAUGGCCUGAUUAAUGUUCUAGAUGGUGGUAACGGGAAAGCCCUUUUUAAAUGGAGGAAUCCUUUCCAUUAAGUUCUGUGCAUUUGCAGUUCGCAGACCUCAUUGGAUGAUACCCUCGUAGCCACACCCUCAAGCUCAGUUUCUUUUGUCUUCCCAAAUGAGUACUUUCAGACCAGAGGGUCAGGGAGCUAGAUUUAAAGCCAUGCCUUUAAUCCUUGAUGUCUAGAUUUUUCUAUUGUAGCAGGCAUGCUGUUUUGACCUAUGGAAGUCUAUUAGGAGACCAAGGAUCAAGUGAGCGUAAAGUGUCACACUGUCACGGGCUUCCCUCACUGCAAAGAGCAGACAGCACAAGCCUGAUCUGGAGUCCCCAGAACCGAGAGGGAAAAAUUCACAGGAGGAAAGAAGUAAAGACACCCAUACCAUCAUCUAUGUUGUAGCAUUUAAUGACUAAUAAAUAUGGAUAGUAUUUGCUAAUA
Long non-coding RNA from Mesocricetus auratus (golden hamster), 1144 nucleotides. RefSeq lists it as uncharacterized. The transcript has 4 exons. The record is from RefSeq and is a predicted model, not a curated record. NCBI's taxonomy places the organism in Eukaryota, Metazoa, Chordata, Mammalia, Rodentia, Cricetidae.